CCUAGCCUACGGGGCGCAGCAGUGAGGAAUAUUGGUCAAUGGGCGCGAGCCUGAACCAGCCAAGUCGCGUGAGGGAAGACGGUCCUAUGGAUUGUAAACCUCUUUUGUCGGGGAGCAAAAGACGCCACGCGUGGCGUUCCGAGAGUAACCGAAGAAAAAGCAUCGGCUAACUCCGUGCCAGCAGCCGCGGUAAUACGGAGGAUGCGAGCGUUAUCCGGAUUUAUUGGGUUUAAAGGGUGCGCAGGCGGAAGAUCAAGUCAGCGGUAAAAUUGAAAGGC
This 278-nucleotide ribosomal RNA is filed under the name uncultured bacterium. Its description in RNAcentral is "partial 16S ribosomal RNA". It matches the Rfam family "Bacterial small subunit ribosomal RNA", at positions 332 to 608 of the family's 1533-position model. The record is from RNAcentral.